GUCUCACUCUAGUCCUGGAGUGGGAAGGGAUAGCUGCCUGAGAAGAUGGUAACUAGAGAAGAGGGAGCUCCAGCCUGGUAAACCUGCAGGCCUUGGUAGAGGCCCAAAAAAGCUACCUGUACUUUCAAUCAAUUAUUCUGUCAUCUGCCAUUGUUUUGGUUAAUUAAAAUGACCCAGGGAAGAGAUAACAUCCAUGAAUAUGUAAUGGAACCCUGCUAAUUCCUGAAUAAGAAUAAGAAAUGUAAAGUCAUUACUCAUCCACCAAAAGCAGCUGAAGGAUCUGUGCAGAUCUGCUUCUCCAGUGUCCCAGACUGCAUAGUGCAAAUUGCAGUAGGAGACUUCAAAACAGCCAGCACAGCAUACAGCAGCAGGACUUCAAGAGAAGUGAGAAUCACACUUACAAUGGACAACCUGGCAGCUAUUGAGGAUUACAUUUAAAGACCUUUUAUAAAUGAGCACCCAUGAACUUGCAUAUAAUGACAGCAUUCCACUGUGUUAGUACAAGAGCACCCUCCCAUGGUGGUAAUGAUAUUUUAGAUGUUAUACAAUUUAGAUGGUCCAUAAUAAAGUUGUACCUAAUGUAACUACCUCUUCCAAUACCACUGCCACUGGGGAAGGUCCUGAACCUUCUUCUCAACUCCUCACCUGCCGGUGAAAGGGAGAUCUAGGGGCCCACUCUAUCAAGCCUCAUGCAGCUACUUUCCUCGUACCCUGUUGGCCAUUUCACCUUCUGCACUCCUUGCUUACUGUGCCCGUACUCUACACAGCCCUCACUGGAGAGGUCCGAAGGGGUGAGUAAUGUACUUCUAUCUAUCUGGGAGAAUCUGAGUGGCUAGAGGAUUUUUUUUUCAAUAAUCUUUGGAAUGGUCAUUGUCUGGCAGUGUCCUUCCCUCUCCUUCUCCCCCUAUCACACCCUAGGCAAGGUCACUGCUUGUGUCCUCCUUCUAGCAUAUUUUAGGGAUCAAGAGCACCAGUGAUGAUUCCCAGAAAGUGCCAACAAAUUCUCAGUAUACUCUUGCCAUUAUAAAAAUACUAAACAAUAUUUACUGUCUUCUUACAGUUAACAUGGAGAUCACUUUGCUAAUAAUAUACCUGGUCAAUAUUUUAUCCAAAAGUUUUUUCCCUCUACAUGUUGCCUCUUUUUUUAAAAAAUGAAAAUUUUAGUAAACUGAUUAUUUUCCAAAAUAUUUCAUUUAGAAUAAUUGUGACUUUAUCAACUUUUUUAUGGAAGUCAUUACUAAAACUUACCAAAAAGAGAGAACAAAACAAGAAAACACCAAUAGGUUUUGGUAAAUGAAAAAUUCUGAUAAUCGUUUCCAUAACAGUUUUGAUACAUAUUUUUUUUUAAAAAAAAAGGGUCCAUUUUGUACCAUACAAAAGGGUCACAAUGUUGAAAUGUGGACAUUUUCCAAAAAAUUUGUUCUUAAAGUUGCCAAGCAGCUUUACGAAUAGGCAAUUUUAGAGACUAGUGUGCUUACACACCAGUUGUAGACUUUGAUAUUCUUAUUUACUACUGAUUGUCCUUUAUCUGUUGAUUGGGUAAUGCUAACAGUUAUAAUUCUUCAGAUGUCCUAAUUCACUUGGCUAUACCUUAGUUAAAAUUAGUUGCUACACAAAUUUAUUGUUCCUUACAUUGAUUUGAAUUUUAGUUCUCUAAAAGAUAGCUCAGUGAAGGCAUUACUGAACUGAGGACAUUUUUUCAAAAUGACUAGUAACAUUGAUGUAUCUCAACACUUUCUGAAACACAGUAAGUUACUCCAUAUGUCAAAAAGUUCUCAAAAAUAUUCUAACUGAUUGAGAAAGAGUCACCUUUUCCACCAAGAAAAAAGUCUUUGGAGCUAUUAGCACUGACAAGGCAAAUUAGGUACAAUCCUGCAAUGACCUAAGUGUGGACUGACCCAGGAGUGCAGCUGCACUGAGCUCACUGCAGAAUCAACAAGGUCUCACAGUAGAAUAUCAGAUGAAUAAAUCAAUUUGUUAUAUUCAGCAACAACUCAUUUUGAAUUUGCAGCCAAAUCAGUGCACCUCUUAUCAAACCUAGGCAUGUCUACACUACAAUUACACAUCACCAUCUGGUCCAUGCCAGCUGACUCAGGCUCAGGGGACUCAGGCUAAGGUGGCUGUUUAACUGAAGUGUAGAGUAAGGGCUCCAGCAGCAGGUUCAUACUGCUUUUGCUGCCUGUGGGUGCUGUUUAUUAGUUGUAGUAGUAUUGAGUUGUCGGCUUGAGCCCCAUACCUCAUUGUGCUAGGUGCUGUUCAGACAAUGAACAACAAUGACAAUACAAGACGAGACAACAGGUGGAGACAGAUGGUGGAGCGCAAGGAAACAAUAAAAUAUUACUCAGCAUUGUACCAUCCAUCAUGGGCACGGAAUGAGGCAGAGAUCCUGUGGAAAAAAUAGUAUGUGAGCUUGUAAUUACAGGCUGUAUCAUAAUGCACACACAUCAAGGUGAGGAAUCACGGUUGCGUGGGCAAGUCUGAUUCUUCCCAAAUUUUGAGAGGUUGACUUUUUACCAGUUGUUCUUAGAAUCUAGGAUUUUUAAUGUAACAUACAUAUAUGUACACAUGCUCAUUUUCUUUAAUGAGGCUUUAUUUUACUUCAUUUUGGUAAACUGCAGAGAAAGCAAAGUUUUGAAUGGGAAUCACAGGAGGACUGUCACAGGAACUAGCAUCAGAAGAUUCAAAGCAGAAUAAGCUGCAUUCUAGUAAUAGACAUCAGGUAGUAAGCAUUUUAUGGAUAGCUUGCAAUAUUACUUAGAAUUUGUCCUUCAAGCUGGAAAGAUUUUAAGCAUGUGGCUGUAGUGUUCUGUUCAAUCCAUUACUGUAACUGUUUCCAACAAGAUGGAUCUUUUUUCUUCUGAAGAAAAAGCACCAAAUAGUAUGAGCUAGCAAGAUUACAAGAGAAAAUCUUAG
Long non-coding RNA from Dermochelys coriacea (leatherback sea turtle), 2913 nucleotides. RefSeq lists it as uncharacterized. Lineage: Eukaryota; Metazoa; Chordata; Testudines; Dermochelyidae. The transcript is spliced from 3 exons. The record is from RefSeq and is a predicted model, not a curated record.